UGGGGGACAUGGACUUGUCCAGCUAAUGGACUAGGCAUGGAAAAGGUGUAUGUGGUGGAUGGCGGCCCCGUUCACUGGGGUGAGGACUGAGGUUAGAAGAUGAUAAAGGCAGAGGGUGGAAUUGCCUGUUUCUCCCUGAAUGGACCAUCAUGCAGUGAGGCACGCAUGUCCGGAGCUGAAGGAAAGAUUUCUGAAGCUGCAGGAGGCUGAGAACACGCAGUAGGUUAUAGGAGGAAAGAGGAAAAUGUGGGCGGCUCUGAAGGAUGCUGACAUUUGAAAGGCAGGCAGUGAUUCUAAACAAAUCGUUCAUAACCCUGCAUGCAUGUUGGGCUCACCUGGAUAGCCUUUCCUUUUCGGAAAGUGGGGGUAGCUUUUAAAUCAUACAAUGGUCCAAUAUUUGAAUUCUAUUGGUCUGGGCUGAGGAUUGAGUAUUUGCAUUUUAAAAAGCUCUCCCAAGAAAUCCUAAAGCACAGCCUAUGUAAUAAAUAUAGUGUGAAUUAUAUUUUAUUUUGGGGCCAGUCUACUUACAUUAUUGAGCAGAAAUCUGACUCUCUGCCUUAUAAUAAUAAGAUGUAAUCAUAUAUUCUCAUAAUAAUCACACAUAUCUCAGAAUGACAAUGUUCACUUCUUUGUUUCCUCUGCUACACUGUCAACUUUCCAGGGCUGUAGGAGCUGGACCAAUUCUUGCUGAACAAAUGGAAGAAGAAAUGAAUGUUCCUAUCAUCUAUGUUCCGGGGAACAGAUAAGGUUGCUGACACUGUGAAUGAAUUCUCCCUGACCUCACUUGCUCAUCUUACUUUUCUAAAUUGCUCAAGUACUUUUUACUCCCUGUCAUGAGGUCAUUUUCCGAAGCUGCAUGGAUAACGGAGAGACCAAUUAUUGAAGAUAGUUGUGCCACAAUAUGGAUGAAUCCUGGAUACAUGAAUGCCUGUGUGGAACAGAGCCCGCUGUCUACUGUAUUGGAUUCUGAGGUGAGCGAGCAAAAGUGAUUA
Molecule: long non-coding RNA, 992 nt
Organism: Homo sapiens (human)
Lineage: Eukaryota; Metazoa; Chordata; Mammalia; Primates; Hominidae
Exons: 3
Source: RefSeq, a predicted model, not a curated record